UCCGGAACUUCCAGAGCCUUAUUUGAGUAUUAAUUUUGCUAGAGAUGGAAUGCAAAAAAAGGAUUAUUGGUUGCAGUUCAUAGUGAUGCAUGGUUGCUUGCCGUGUCCUUUUAUUUUGAGGCUAGAUUUGGAUUUGACUAACCUGAUAGGUAAUUCAUUUUCUCAUUCGACAACUUAUUUGUGUGCUACUAUGCAUCUGUUGAAUUUUUAGUCCCUUCGGAUUUUUACUAUCAAUAGGCAUGGAGACUUUGUCAUUGUUAAUUUUCAGCUUUUAUAUGUUGUCAAUGUGGAAGGAUAAUGAUUCUGAAUAAGCAAAUUCAUUAUCAGUUUUAACAAAUAUCACCAGGCUGUUAAUUAUGAGUUUUAUGUUGGCUUGCGCCUCAAUAUGAUAUUUGAAGGGAAAGACUCAUGAAAGAAGAAACAAAUAUGCCCUUAAAAGUCUGCCAAGGCAUGCAACCUGGAUUCGCUCAAGUGAUUUUGUUGAAGCUUUGCCUGAACUGAACUCUUUUGAUUCUUAAUCUGAUAAGCAACAGAUGUCUUAAUAUUAUCUUCCCAAUUGACCUGGAUUUGACAUGUUGAGAUUGAUUGUUUUCCAGGAGAAAGUACUAAUUAGUAGUAUAAUAAUUUUAAGCUUUUACUUA
Molecule: long non-coding RNA, 641 nt
Organism: Mercurialis annua (annual mercury)
Lineage: Eukaryota; Viridiplantae; Streptophyta; Magnoliopsida; Malpighiales; Euphorbiaceae
Exons: 2
Source: RefSeq, a predicted model, not a curated record